This 376-nucleotide ribosomal RNA is filed under the name Gammarus lacustris. RNAcentral describes it as "partial 28S ribosomal RNA". It matches the Rfam family "Eukaryotic large subunit ribosomal RNA", at positions 624 to 900 of the family's 3401-position model. The record is from RNAcentral. Lineage: Eukaryota; Metazoa; Arthropoda; Malacostraca; Amphipoda; Gammaridae.
GGUGUAAAGUCCAAGCCCAUCGGUCACGUCUCGAAACACGGGCCAAGGAGUAUAGCAUGUGUGCAAGUCUAAGGGUCUCACAAAACCCGAAGGCGAAGUGAAAGCAAGUAAGCGGCGGGUGAUCUACGGAGAGAUCCCGUCAGCUAGAGGGACCCUCGGGUCUCUCCGGCUUUGGCAGAGUUGAUCCUGCAGCGGUACCGCACACGUACGCUCAGGCGCAAACUCCAGGCUCACGUUUCGCACUGGUUCUCGGACUGUGCUGUGAGCACUGUGGAGCAUGCAUGCUAUGACCCGAAAGAUAGUGAACUAUGCCUGGCGAGGGCGAAGCCCCAGGAAACUGGGGUGGAGGCCCGUAGCCGUUGUGACGUGCAAAUCC